GGGGAACUGAAACAUCUAAGUACCCCGAGGAAAAGAAAUCAACCGAGAUUCCCCCAGUAGCGGCGAGCGAACGGGGAGGAGCCCAGAGCCUGAAUCAGCAUGUGUGUUAGUGGAAGCGUCUGGAAAGGCGCGCGAUACAGGGUGACAGCCCCGUACACAAAAGUGCAUGUGCUGUGAGCUCGAUGAGUAGGGCGGGACACGUGGUAUCCUGUCUGAAUAUGGGGGGACCAUCCUCCAAGGCUAAAUACUCCUGACUGACCGAUAGUGAACCAGUACCGUGAGGGAAAGGCGAAAAGAACCCCGGCGAGGGGAGUGAAAAAGAACCUGAAACCGUGUACGUACAAGCAGUGGGAGCACCCUUUGGGGUGUGACUGCGUACCUUUUGUAUAAUGGGUCAGCGACUUAUAUUCUGUAGCAAGGUUAACCGAAUAGGGGAGCCGGAGGGAAACCGAGUCUUAAUUGGGCGUUAAGUUGCAGGGUAUAGACCCGAAACCCGGUGAUCUAGCCAUGGGCAGGUUGAAGGUUGGGUAACACUAACUGGAGGACCGAACCGACUAAUGUUGAAAAAUUAGCGGAU
Molecule: ribosomal RNA, 577 nt
Filed under: Salmonella enterica subsp. enterica serovar Legon
Lineage: Bacteria; Pseudomonadati; Pseudomonadota; Gammaproteobacteria; Enterobacterales; Enterobacteriaceae
Description: bacterial LSU rRNA
Rfam family: Bacterial large subunit ribosomal RNA
Source: RNAcentral